GGGGAAUAUUGCGCAAUGGGGGAAACCCUGACGCAGCAACGCCGCGUGAAGGAUGAAGGUUUUCGGAUUGUAAACUUCUUUGAUUGGGGACGAAUAAAUGACGGUACCCAAAAAACAAGCCACGGCUAACUACGUGCCAGCAGCCGCGGUAAUACGUAGGUGGCGAGCGUUGUCCGGAAUUACUGGGUGUAAAGGGCGUGUAGGCGGGAAUGUAAGUCAGAUGUGAAAUACCGUAGCUUAACUACGGGGCUGCAUCUGAAACUAUGUUUCUUGAGUGUCGGAGAGGAAAGUGGAAUUCCCAGUGUAGCGGUGAAAUGCGUAGAUAUUGGGAGGAACACCAGUGGCGAAGGCGACUUUCUGGACGAUAACUGACGCUGAGGCGCGAAAGCGUGGGGAGCAAAC
This 402-nucleotide ribosomal RNA is filed under the name uncultured bacterium. RNAcentral's name for it is "bacterial SSU rRNA". It matches the Rfam family "Bacterial small subunit ribosomal RNA", at positions 356 to 773 of the family's 1533-position model. The record is from RNAcentral.